AAAUGCAGGCUAUCACUACAGUAAUGUCUGCAGUACGUUUUGUUGGGGUCAAGAAAUUCAAAGAUAGGGCUUGCCCAGGCACUCUAAACGGACACUAUGAGACUUGAUAAUCGAUCAAGCAUCCUUCAACACUUUUGUUCAGGGCGGGUAACCAGGUGCGGACUGCGGAUUAAGCUCAAUGGAACCUCUAUCACUUGAGAAUUGGCGACAUCCAAGCUCAACAACACCUACGCACUUUUGGUUUGGUUGGACCUAAACCGUCCUGAGGACUGCGCGGAGUGUCGAGAAUGACUUCCCCAACUGAAUGACUAACUAUCUCAUUUGUGAGGAUCGUCAGAGAUAAAGGAGGCCAUGGCUGGUUGGGACUUUGAAUGGUGCUUAAAUUGGUCUGAUUGCUCUGACUCAUGACCCAUUAAGGUUUUUUCUCUCUUUCUCAGGCUCCCUAAACAUAUGGUGACAAAAUUUGAAAUGGGCCCUUGAUGGACAAUUCUGAUCAAGCCAAGGCUUGAGAGUCGUUUCCAACCACGACGAAUUCACAACGGUCCCCAAACGGCUCUUGGAGACACUCCCUUGUUCUCAAAGCUGUUUUUUCUGUCCAAUUCAAAAAUGCCUUCAAUCAAACUGAGGCGCCCAAAGAAUACGAAUGCCAAUCUUUCAAAUGGUCAGCCAAGGUGACAAAAAGUGUCUUGGUGAUAUCAAUGACCGACUUUGUGCUUGUCGUCUAAUCUCAAUGUGAUGACUAAUGGCUUCAUCCAUGGAUAUCUGGUAUGGUCUAAUAGCCUAUCAUUGAUUUAUAGGCUGCUACUCUCUCCGUUCACUCAUCCCACACACGAAUUCCCGUCGAGUCCGAGAAUGGCAUGGAUGCAAACGAGCUUAAAGAUUCCAUUAACAAGGCCCUACUCCGUUCAAUGGUUUUGAUAUUACAAGCCCAAUUGAUUCAUUGCCAAAUUUUGGGGGUCCCAAUAAAACAAGGUUUUCAUCAAA
Molecule: long non-coding RNA, 984 nt
Organism: Tigriopus californicus
Lineage: Eukaryota; Metazoa; Arthropoda; Copepoda; Harpacticoida; Harpacticidae
Exons: 2
Source: RefSeq, a predicted model, not a curated record